This 253-nucleotide ribosomal RNA is filed under the name uncultured bacterium. Its description in RNAcentral is "partial 16S ribosomal RNA". It matches the Rfam family "Bacterial small subunit ribosomal RNA", at positions 524 to 776 of the family's 1533-position model. The record is from RNAcentral.
UACGUAGGGGGCAAGCGUUGUCCGGAUUUAUUGGGCGUAAAGAGCGUGUAGGCGGCCAGACAUGUCCGUUGUGAAAACUAGAGGCUUAACCUCUAGACGUCGAUGGAAACCGUCUGGCUAGAGUCCGGAAGAGGAGAAUGGAAUUCCUGGUGUAGCGGUGAAAUGCGCAGAUAUCAGGAAGAACACCCGUGGCUAAGGCGGUUCUCUAGUACGGUACUGACGCUGAGACGCGAAAGCGUGGGGAGCGAACAGG